This 496-nucleotide ribosomal RNA is filed under the name uncultured bacterium. RNAcentral's name for it is "partial 16S ribosomal RNA". It matches the Rfam family "Bacterial small subunit ribosomal RNA", at positions 28 to 507 of the family's 1533-position model. The record is from RNAcentral.
GAUGAACGCUGGCGGCGUGCCUAAUACAUGCAAGUCGAGCGAACAGACGAGGAGCUUGCUCCUUCGACGUUAGCGGCGGACGGGUGAGUAACACGUAGGUAACCUACCUAUAAGACUGGGAUAACUUCGGGAAACCGGAGCUAAUACCGGAUAAUAUUUCGAACCGCAUGGUUCGAUAGUGAAGAUGGCUUUGCUAUCACUUAUAGAUGGACCUGCGCCGUAUUAGCUAGUUGGUAAGGUAACGGCUUACCAAGGCAACGAUACGUAGCCGACCUGAGAGGGUGAUCGGCCACACUGGAACUGAGACACGGUCCAGACUCCUACGGGAGGCAGCAGUAGGGAAUCUUCCGCAAUGGGCGAAAGCCUGACGGAGCAACGCCGCGUGAGUGAUGAAGGUCUUCGGAUCGUAAAACUCUGUUAUUAGGGAAGAACAAACGUGUAAGUAACUGUGCACGUCUUGACGGUACCUAAUCAGAAAGCCACGGCUAACUACGUG